AUUGAACGCUGGCGGCAUGCUUUACACAUGCAAGUCGAACGGCAGCACGGGUGCUUGCACCUGGUGGCGAGUGGCGAACGGGUGAGUAAUGCAUCGGAACGUGCCCAUGAGUGGGGGAUAGCCCGGCGAAAGCCGGAUUAAUACCGCAUACGCCCUUAGGGGGAAAGCGGGGGAUCUUCGGACCUCGCGCUAUUGGAGCGGCCGAUGUCGGAUUAGCUAGUAGGUGAGGUAAAGGCUCACCUAGGCGACGAUCCGUAGCUGGUCUGAGAGGAUGAUCAGCCACACUGGGACUGAGACACGGCCCAGACUCCUACGGGAGGCAGCAGUGGGGAAUUUUGGACAAUGGGCGCAAGCCUGAUCCAGCCAUGCCGCGUGAGUGAAGAAGGCCUCGGGUUGUAAGAC
Molecule: ribosomal RNA, 402 nt
Filed under: uncultured bacterium
Lineage: Bacteria
Description: bacterial SSU rRNA
Rfam family: Bacterial small subunit ribosomal RNA
Source: RNAcentral